Molecule: RNA transcript, 499 nt
Organism: Brassica napus (rape)
Lineage: Eukaryota; Viridiplantae; Streptophyta; Magnoliopsida; Brassicales; Brassicaceae
Exons: 4
Source: RefSeq, a predicted model, not a curated record
AAUAAAGGUUUUUUUUUGGGUACAACCUCCGCAGCAGAAACAUGGCUGCAACUGCUACUUGGGAUUUCAGCUGUCACUUGGAUGUGAAUUUCGAAACGGAACAACAUGCUUUCAUUGCGUACACAUCAUUGGCUGUUGAUAAAGAGGUUUAAAAGUUUCUCAAUUCACUACCAACAUAUGAAUAGUUGCAGCCGGGUAAGGUGAGAAGAGUCAUGUCGGUAUCAAACAACAAGCUUUCUGUGCACUUUGAGGCAAUAGAGGCAAGGCUUCUUCGAGCAUCCUUGUCCGCGUUUGUAGACGUUCUUACACUGGCCACAAAAACAAUUCAAGAAUUUCGGGAAGAUUAAAACACCAAUGUGUAAAAGAAGUUUGAUUCUUUCUCUCUGUCCCUUCAAGAAUUCAAUUAUUGUAGUGCUGAAUUGGAGGACUGUAAAAACACUUUCAAUUUGAUAUACUUUGUACUGACUCCUAAUUAAAUUUCUAAACACUUCUAGUUUCA